Molecule: ribosomal RNA, 467 nt
Filed under: uncultured bacterium
Lineage: Bacteria
Description: partial 16S ribosomal RNA
Rfam family: Bacterial small subunit ribosomal RNA
Source: RNAcentral
GACGAACGCUGGCGGCGUGCUUAACACAUGCAAGUCGAACGGAAAGGCCUCUUUCGGGGGGUACUCGAGUGGCGAACGGGUGAGUAACACGUGAGUAACCUGCCCUUGACUUUGGGAUAACUUCAGGAAACUGGGGCUAAUACCGGAUAGGAGCUCCUGCUGCAUGGUGGGGGUUGGAAAGUUUCGGCGGUUGGGGAUGGACUCGCGGCUUAUCAGCUUGUUGGUGGGGUAGUGGCUUACCAAGGCUUUGACGGGUAGCCGGCCUGAGAGGGUGACCGGCCACAUUGGGACUGAGAUACGGCCCAGACUCCUACGGGAGGCAGCAGUGGGGAAGAUUGCACAAUGGGUGGAAGCCUGAUGCAGCAACGCCGUGUGCGGGAUGACGGCCUUCGGGUUGGAAACCGCUUUCGCUCAUGACGAAGCUUUGUGUGACGGUAGUGGGUAAAGAAGCACCGGCUAACUACGUG